UACGUAGGGCGCAAGCGUUAUCCGGAAUUAUUGGGCGUAAAGAGCUCGUAGGCGGUCUGUCGCGUCUGCUGUGAAAACUCGGGGCUUAACCCCGGGCCUGCAGUGGGUACGGGCAGACUAGAGUGCGGUAGGGGAGACUGGAAUUCCUGGUGUAGCGGUGAAAUGCGCAGAUAUCAGGAAGGACACCCGUGGCGAAGGCGGCUCUCUGGGACGGUACUGACGCUGAGACGCGAAAGCGUGGGGAGCGAACAGG
Molecule: ribosomal RNA, 253 nt
Filed under: uncultured bacterium
Lineage: Bacteria
Description: partial 16S ribosomal RNA
Rfam family: Bacterial small subunit ribosomal RNA
Source: RNAcentral